GUUCUCAUCCGUGGUGAUUUGAGCCGACCGGCUUGCGGCCACGUUAAACAACUCGCUAAAAGGUCGGAGUUCACAAGCG
RNAcentral lists this non-coding RNA (79 nucleotides) under Oceanibaculum pacificum. Lineage: Bacteria; Pseudomonadati; Pseudomonadota; Alphaproteobacteria; Rhodospirillales; Oceanibaculaceae. The record is from RNAcentral.